AAGGCAGGCAGGAAGCCCUUCGGCUUGGCAAUGCGUGCGAGCCGAGAGAGCGCAAAAGCAAACUGAAACCCCACUCCUUUUCUGAUAACGGAGAGGAAGAGAGACAGAGAGAAGAAGCAGACUGGAAUUCCAACCCUCCGUGUAUUUAUGAUAGUUUAAAGGUCUCUUUUGAAAAUGUAUGACCGUUUGGAUCCUCGGCGCGAGCCUAGACGUGUUUCUAAAGGCAUCAUAGGUAGCGUCGUCUGACCAAGGAGGGCUCGGGCGCUUUCCGUUCCUAUCCUUCGCUUCCCCCCUCUUGGUGAGGGGAUAUAUUGGAACAAGGUUUUGGGGCUUUUUGCAUUUGAAUCCUACUGCGCAACCAGACGGAUCACGUGGGAUGUGGAGUUGAUCGAUUUGCGCCGUUAAAUGUAUAAAGAGGAAAUAGGGAAAAGGUCUGUUAAAAAAGCAUAACCGCUUUCUUCCGGAUUACAGGGGACUCUACUUUUACAGAGGGAAAUACGUCGGUGGGCUCGGGGAACCGGAGUGAUUUUUAUGCCUGUUUAAAAUGGAGACGCACAUAUCGUGCCUCUUUCCGGAAAUUUUAGCCAUGAUUUUCAGCUACUUGGAUGUAAGGGACAAAGGCAGGGUGGCCCAAGUGUGCGCUGCUUGGAGGGACGCUUCCUACCACAAGUCGGUGUGGAGGGGGUGGAAGCCAAGCUGCAUCUGCGGCGGGCCAAUCCUUCUCUCUUCCCCAGCCUACAGGCCCGCGGAAUCCGGAGGGUACAGAUUCUCAGCCUGCGGCGGAGCCUCAGCUACGUGAUCCAGGGGAUGCCAAACAUCGAGAGUCUGAACCUGAGUGGCUGCUAUAACUUAACGGAUAACGGCCUGGGGCACGCGUUUGUCCAGGAAAUCCCUUCCCUUCGGGUUCUAAACCUUAGUCUGUGUAAGCAGAUCACGGACUCCAGCCUGGGCCGGAUCGCCCAGUAUCUGAAGAACCUGGAGGUUCUGGAACUGGGCGGGUGUAGUAACAUCACCAACACGGGGCUGUUACUCAUAGCGUGGGGUUUACACCGGCUCAAGAGCCUCAACCUCCGCAGCUGCCGGCAUGUGUCUGACGUGGGCAUCGGGCACCUGGCGGGCAUGACCCGCAGCGCAGCGGAGGGCUGUCUCAACCUGGAAUACCUGACGCUGCAGGACUGUCAAAAACUUACGGAUCUGUCCCUCAAGCACAUCUCGAAGGGCCUGGCUAAGCUCAGAGUUCUCAACCUGAGUUUCUGUGGCGGGAUCUCUGACGCAGGUAUGAUCCACCUCUCUCACAUGACCAGCCUCUGGAGCCUUAACCUGCGCUCUUGCGACAACAUCAGUGACACGGGCAUCAUGCACCUGGCCAUGGGCACGCUGCGGCUCUCCGGGCUGGACAUGUCCUUCUGUGACAAGAUAGGGGACCAGAGUCUGGCUUACAUCGCCCAGGGCCUGUACCAGCUCAAAUCCCUGUCCCUGUGCUCGUGCCACAUUAGUGACGAUGGCAUCAACAGGAUGGUGCGCCAGAUGCAUGAGCUGAGAACCCUGAACAUUGGACAGUGUGUGCGGAUUACAGACAAAGGACUGGAGCUCAUUGCCGACCACUUGACUCAGUUGACGGGGAUCGAUCUGUAUGGAUGUACUAAAAUCACGAAACGGGGACUGGAAAGGAUAACGCAGCUCCCAUGCCUUAAAGUUUUGAAUCUGGGACUUUGGCAGAUGACAGAGAGUGAAAAAGUGAGGUGAAACUAACUUGGCGAGGAUUAGUUGGGGAGGGGGACACAUAGAGAGGAGAAGUGGUAACGGCGCAGGAGACCAGUGGGCGGGGAAAUGUUCCUUCUAAAAUAUAUAUAUAUCCUCUGCUCUCAAUCUCGUCGUAGUUGGAUAUUUUCUCAUUCAAUGUAACCUAACUUAAUGCUACAAAACUGUGAUCAAAAAAUAUGUUGCGCAAUUUUAGGCCAAAUGAAAACAGGAUUAAUCAUCAUCAAAUGCAUGUUUUCAUUAUUAACAACACAAUACCCCGCCCCCGCAUUAUGAAGACAAACUACUUUUUAUUAUUCCUAAAGAGUCGCAAUAUUUAACUUCAAACUGUCCAACUAUCGCGCCUAAUACAUUUGGCUACCUCGUUUAUCAAUGUGUUGUAAUAAAUCCGUGUAUUGUUAAAAAGAAAGAGAGGAGAGAAAUUGUGCCUAUAGACAGUAGCAGUCCCCUCCCCCAACGCGUCUCGCGCUUGGAGAAUCCUCGCAGCAAAAAGAAACGCUCUCUAACUACCUUUGUGUUCAUUUGCCCAGAAACGCUUAACAAUGAAGAAGAGAAACGAACAGAGUUUCGUUUAAAAGGACUGUUCACACUCAGACAAAAAAUAGCGACUUUAUGCAAAUUAAAACGGAUUAAAUACUGGUUUGUAUCCAAAAUCAUUUUAUUUUUGUUUUGUUUACUUUUUAACCCAACUUAAAGGCCUUGUAGCCUUGGAUUCAAGCUUUGAAUAAUGGGACCCUUCCUUCCCUAUAUUAUUUUGGUGUGUUUAUGCUUAUGGAAGCAGAUAUUGUCGAAUUAUUGCUGUUAUUCAGAGCGUUGUACUUCAAAUUGAAGUGAUUUCUAUAAUAGAAAUGCUGCCCCUUUUCUCAAUCAGGUGUUUUCCAACUAAUCCUCCAUAUCCUCGAGAAUAUGGGUCGCUACCUAUUAAACACAAUCAUACACACUAGUCCACAAUAACAACGGAAGAGACACUCCUUUGGAAUAGAAUCUAAAUAAAUGCUUUAGAAUGAACAAGCAAUCGAUCGUUAUUUUCUCGGCUUCCAAGUGACUGCGUGUCAGGUCUACAUGGGACCUAUGGAAUCAGAACAUGACGUUAUGAGCGAACAGAACUGCAACAUGUAUUGAGUCCUGCUGAGAGACUACUGUGUUUUAAUGUACUGUAUAUGUGUUUGUAAAAAAACAGAAUCCAAAAUUAAAUUGUUUUAUAUUCUUACAGUAAACAUUAAAGUUGAUAUUUAUAUAAUAAAUGAAAAGGUCAUGUGGA
Non-coding RNA from Salmo salar (Atlantic salmon), 3022 nucleotides. NCBI's taxonomy places the organism in Eukaryota, Metazoa, Chordata, Actinopteri, Salmoniformes, Salmonidae. The record is from RefSeq and is a predicted model, not a curated record.